This 1038-nucleotide long non-coding RNA is filed under the name Capra hircus (goat). RNAcentral's name for it is "lncRNA (ENSCHIG00010008848.1)". The record is from RNAcentral. Lineage: Eukaryota; Metazoa; Chordata; Mammalia; Artiodactyla; Bovidae.
AUGGGUGUGCUAAGACGUAGUGGUGCAAAAUCUGGACCUUGCAGUCAGGUUCUUAACACAAGGAGUAAAAUGCUGAUCAGCUUUUUUACGAGUAAGGCUGGAGGAUGUGGCAAAGCCUCUAAUCUCCCUCUCCAAAGCAGAACCUUUAAUGCUAUCCCAGUCCUGACCUAUUCAUGCUCAGCCCAUAUUGGGAAAGUUGAGACCUGACCAGGCUCAAUUUGUCUGCUGCCUAGCCGGGAAAGGAAGGAGCCAGCCAUCUUGUUGAACCCAUGCAGAUCUGAGAGGUGGAGGGCAAGUGAGAAGGGUGGGCCUAAACUGGCCCCACUCCCGAAAAUGGUCCAUGAUUGUCCUAAGGGGUGAGUAAUGGAAGAGAGAAUGCACAGGUGCUCCAGUGCUCCCCUAGAGACCAAAGAUGAAGCCUUGUCUAUGGUUCAGGGUAAGAACAUGGGGAUGGAAGGAAAAGUAUUCUUAUAAUAUUGCCCACAUUGAUUUCUCAGGUUGUAUCAGAUGGGGUGGAAAAGGAGACACUUUGAAGACUACCUGGAAAGUGAAGUUACUUCUUUCCAGCUGACGCUGCAGAUUACCAGGAUGUCAUCUUUCCUUCUCAACGUGGGAAAAGCUAUUGAAGAGAGACAUUUGUCGGCUUUGCCAGCCUAGUUAGACCGUUACUAAAACAGUGUCUCCUGAACCGUUGUUCAUUUUCAUAAACAAAUAAUAUUGAUCCAUUCACAUGAUGAAACAUUUUAAAGUAACAAAAUUUACACAGAUCACCUUUUCCCCUUUUCCCUCUACUGUCCACUCUCUUCCCCUGAGGCACCAGGCUGCCCAGUACUGUUUUAUUUUAUGUUUUUAGUUUUUAAAUUAAUUUUUAUUGGAUAUAGUUUCUUUACAAUGUUGUGUUAGUUUCUACCGGAUAGUAAAGUGAAUCAGCUAUACAUAUAUGUAUAUCCCCUCUUUUUUGGAUUUCUCUCCCAUUUAGGUCACCGCAGAGUGCUGAAUAGAGUUCCCUGUGCUAAAUGGUGGAUUCUCAUUAGUUAU